AAUGAACGCUGGCGGCAUGCCUAACACAUGCAAGUCGAACGAGACCUUCGGGUCUUGUGGCGCACGGGUGCGUAACGCGUGGGAACCUGCCCUUAGGUUCGGACUAACUCCCCGAAAGGGGUGCUAAUACCGGAUCAUGUCUUCGGCCCAAAGAUUUAUCGCCUUUGGAUGGGCCCGCGUUGGAUUAGCUAGUUGGUAGGGUAAAAGCAUACCAAGGCGACGAUCCAUAGCUGGUCUGAGAGGAUGAUCAGCCACACUGGGACUGAGACACGGCCCAGACGCCUACGGGAGGCAGCAAUGGGGAAAAUUGGACAAUGGGCGAAAGCCUGAUCCAGCAAUGCCGCGUGAGUGAUGAAGGCCUUAGGGUUGUAAAGCGCUUUUACCCGGGAUGAUAAUGACGGUACCGGGAGAAUAAGCUCCGGCUAACUCCGUG
Molecule: ribosomal RNA, 433 nt
Filed under: uncultured bacterium
Lineage: Bacteria
Description: partial 16S ribosomal RNA
Rfam family: Bacterial small subunit ribosomal RNA
Source: RNAcentral